GAGUAGCAGAGUGUUCACAAUACAUUGGUGGCAAAAUAUUUCAAUCGAAUGGCCGAAGAAUUAUUGUUUGGUCCGAGAUACAGCAUAAGAUAGAAAACGACAAUCUUCUGCAAUUGUGAGUAUUUCGUUUUCGACAAAAGCAUAAAAAUAAUUCUAAUCCUAAUUGUACUAAUCGCCGAGAACUUCACUCGUCAGUCAGUCAAAGUAGGCGUCGAGAGUAACAUAACCAGAAAUCUGGCAACGAAAAUUAAAUCACUGUGAAAAAUUAAAUGCAAAAAAAGAAAUCUAAGGCAGGUCAGUCGAUUUGAGCUUCAGAACUCACAUAAUGGCACGAUCCACGGAGACGAAUGCUGAGUACGAUUUGUUCAUUAGAACCACUGCGCCAUUGUGCACCAGCACACCAAUAAUCGACUGCGGCAAUUCAAGUUUCAUGGAGAAACUGAUGGACGCGCUGAGAAAUUCACCGGCCGAUCCGGUUAAAGGCGUCUCGGUGAUCCGCAUAAAAAAGUAUUUAAAAAACACAUAUAAUAUUAGGGAUCAAGAUAUGAAACCCCAAUUAAAAACCGCUUUGGAGGAUGCAAUAUUGAAAAACAUCGUUUUAAAAACAACCGGAAAAGGCAUCCUCCAAGGAUCUGUUAAAUUAAACGAGAAUUGCGAACGAGGUACACCUACUGGUAGCAAAUAAGCAUUUGACAGAGCUGAACAUUCUAAAUAUUUUAUUUGUGGAAUAAAUUUUAUUGUUUUCGACAUCUUUCA
Molecule: long non-coding RNA, 756 nt
Organism: Malaya genurostris
Lineage: Eukaryota; Metazoa; Arthropoda; Insecta; Diptera; Culicidae
Exons: 2
Source: RefSeq, a predicted model, not a curated record